Drosophila sulfurigaster albostrigata is the source of this 685-nucleotide long non-coding RNA. RefSeq lists it as uncharacterized. The transcript is spliced from 2 exons. The record is from RefSeq and is a predicted model, not a curated record. NCBI's taxonomy places the organism in Eukaryota, Metazoa, Arthropoda, Insecta, Diptera, Drosophilidae.
CACUAACAGUAAUUCAGUCGCUGAAAUAAGUCUUGUAAAUUUAUAAUAAGCUUGACACAAGUUGCCAAAUUGGUAGUCGAUUUCUAAUUAACUUCAAAAUAUAAAAAUGGAAAAAAAAAAAUUAAAACCUUCAAACCUUUGCUUCCAUUAUAAACAUGAUAUAUGCGUACUAGAUAUCAAAAACAGUAUUUUAUUUCUGGUAUUUUGCUCUUUUCAGCUUGUAUUUUGUUCACCUACAUACAUGGGCUAUGUAUGAAUGAAAAUGGAUACAAAUUAGCCGCUAGGUGGCGUAUAUGUAUCGGCGUGUGUGUGUGUGUGAGUCGGCGAGGCCUCGCAGCCAAUUUUUGUUUGUGCACGUGUGUUUUGAUCUACAGUGCCUGCAAGCUAAUUGUGGAGCACAUCUCAAGUCACAUCCUGACCUCCUAUGGAGCACAACCAUUUAGCUUAAUUUGCACAAUUUUUGAUGUCAUAAACGAAAAGCAAAGUCACAUACCAACAGCAUAAACAGCUCCAACGGAAGAGGCCACGCAUAACAUGAGAAACCUUUUAGUUAUCAUACUCAUAUACAUAUCUAGUAGUUCGAACAACAACAAAUUUUUAUAGUCUAAAGGAAAUGAAAUGUUCUAUUCUAUUAACAAAUUUGAAAUUCAUAAUUAUUCCUCAUACAAAUUUAUAUAUUACUUUA